Molecule: ribosomal RNA, 468 nt
Filed under: uncultured bacterium
Lineage: Bacteria
Description: partial 16S ribosomal RNA
Rfam family: Bacterial small subunit ribosomal RNA
Source: RNAcentral
GACGAACGCUGGCGGCGUGCUUAACACAUGCAAGUCGAACGGAGAGGCCCUGCUUUUGUGGGGUGCUCGAGUGGCGAACGGGUGAGUAACACGUGAGUAACCUGCCCUUGACUUUGGGAUAACUUCAGGAAACUGGGGCUAAUACCGGAUAGGAGCUCCUGCUGCAUGGUGGGGGUUGGAAAGUUUCGGCGGUUGGGGAUGGACUCGCGGCUUAUCAGCUUGUUGGUGGGGUAGUGGCUUACCAAGGCUUUGACGGGUGGCCGGCCUGAGAGGGUGACCGGCCACAUUGGGACUGAGAUACGGCCCAGACUCCUACGGGAGGCAGCAGUGGGGAAUAUUGCACAAUGGGCGGAAGCCUGAUGCAGCAACGCCGCGUGCGGGAUGACGGCCUUCGGGUUGUAAACCGCUUUCGCCUGUGACGAAGCGUGAGUGACGGUAAUGGGUAAAGAAGCACCGGCUAACUACGUG